CCUACGGGGCGCAGCAGUAGGGAAUCUUCCACAAUGGACGAAAGUCUGAUGGAGCAACGCCGCGUGAGUGAAGAAGGGUUUCGGCUCGUAAAGCUCUGUUGGUAGUGAAGAAAGAUAGAGGUAGUAACUGGCCUUUAUUUGACGGUAAUUACUUAGAAGGUCACGGCUAACUACGUGCCAGCAGCCGCGGUAAUACGUAGGUGGCAAGCGUUGUCCGGAUUUAUUGGGCGUAAAGCGAGUGCAGGCGGGUCAAUAAGUAUGUUGUGAAAGACUUCGGCGCCACCGG
RNAcentral lists this ribosomal RNA (286 nucleotides) under uncultured bacterium. Its description in RNAcentral is "partial 16S ribosomal RNA". It matches the Rfam family "Bacterial small subunit ribosomal RNA", at positions 338 to 616 of the family's 1533-position model. The record is from RNAcentral.